GUCCAUGCCGUAAACGGUGGGCGCUAGGUGUAGGGGACUUCCACGUCUUCUGUGCCGCAGCUAACGCAUUAAGCGCCCCGCCUGGGGGAGUACGGCCGCAAGGCUAAAAACUCAAAGGAAUUGACGGGGGCCCGCACAAGCGGCGGAGCAUGUGGAUUAAUUCGAUGCAACGCGAAGAACCUUACCUGGGCUUGACAUACACCGGACCGGGCUAGAGAUAGCCCUUCCCUUGUGGCCGGUGUACAGGUGGUGCAUGGUUGUCGU
RNAcentral lists this ribosomal RNA (264 nucleotides) under uncultured bacterium. RNAcentral's name for it is "partial 16S ribosomal RNA". It matches the Rfam family "Bacterial small subunit ribosomal RNA", at positions 793 to 1055 of the family's 1533-position model. The record is from RNAcentral.